UUGGUAAUGUGAUUAAGAACAUACCUUGCUGAAUUUUGUUUAACGUUAGAUCCCAAAUGAAUGAGACAGUUUGAAACCAUUUCAUGUUACUACAUGAUUCAAAACCAAUGGCUGUUUUAACAUGUAUGUUCUUGUACCAGACAACAAAUAGAGCUUAAAGCUAAAACUCAGAUAGGAACAAGUAAACAGUAAGCUCAUUGUGGUCCAAUUGAUCAUCGUUGUCAUUUGAUGCUUGCCUUUGGAAUGGAUGAUGUGCAUGGCCCACCCGAUGUCAUAAAUGGUAUGCCCUUAAAUGUGGCCACACCCUUGUCAUCAGUGAAAAGAUUCAGUGUUAUUUUCUCCAACUGCUUCUUUUUUGGAUUUAGGAUAUCUUCUGGCUUACCAUCAAUCCCUGAAAAUGAGACGCGUUCUCCAAUUUUGGCACCUUCUGGAGGGAGCAAAGGCUCUACAACAGUGUGAUCCUCAUUAGAAGCACACAGGACAAGUCCUUCUGACAUCACGUCACGUAGCUUUCCAGGUUUUACAUUAGUUAUCAGCACAACAUGACGAUUCGUCAACUCAUCUGGACUGCAAAACUUUGCCAAACCACUGACCACCUGCCUCAAUUUUGCAUCCCCAACAUCUAUCUCCUCAACCAAUAAACUAUCGGCAGAUGGAUGUUUCCAUGCUUUGCGAAUAAGUCCAACCUGUAUGUUCAGCAAACUAACACUUACUUCUUUAUCUUUCUCAGCAGGUUCUGUUUCAGCUGGUUUCUUUUUCUCUGGCAUAGAUUCCUUAUUUUCUGUAACCUUUUUCCCAGCAUCAUUUUUCUUUAUAUUCUUUUCCGCUUCUGAUUUUUCUGUGUUCUUUGUGCUUUGCAGUGUCUUUUUUGCAUUUGAAUCCACUUCAACCUUAGCCAUACCCCUUUUACCCUGCAACAGAGGCUCAAAUGCAGGCUUUUCAAGCAAUAUCUUUUCAAAUAGGUCCACAAACUCCUCCUUGUGCUGAAUGUAAUCCAUCCAUCUCAUCACAUGUGUCAACUUUUCUCUCUCUAAAUGUGAAAGGCCAAUCACUGAAGAAUGUAUUACUGAAAACACAAUGACAUCAGCCUCAGAAGGAGUAGUUCCAUUGCCCAAUAGUACAGAGUUCUGAGCCAAGUCUUGAUUGAAUCCACAGAGAGCAUCAAAGCACGCCUGAGAGUCUACAGGAAAACUCUCUGCAAACACUAUCCACUUCAUCACCUCGUUAUUUUCUUUCUGUGGAGAACAUUUUCCCGAUGACUUCAAAAUGUUUGUGUACAAACUCGUAAUACUAUCCUUGCCACUGACACCCAAAGAAGCCCCAGGAUCUAAAGAUAGGUGCUUGAUGAGAGCUGAUGCUAUUAAUUGCUUUCUUUUGAGAGUGAUGCUUUCAUCAGUAGAUGCCAUGCCCAAUCCUCAGUGUUUUCUUC
This 1429-nucleotide unclassified non-coding RNA is filed under the name Hevea brasiliensis (rubber tree). The record is from RNAcentral. Lineage: Eukaryota; Viridiplantae; Streptophyta; Magnoliopsida; Malpighiales; Euphorbiaceae.